AGAUUGAACGCUGGCGGCAGGCCUAACACAUGCAAGUCGAGCGGCAGCACGGGUACUUGUACCUGGUGGCGAGCGGCGGACGGGUGAGUAAUGCCUAGGAAUCUGCCUGGUAGUGGGGGAUAACGCUCGGAAACGGACGCUAAUACCGCAUACGUCCUACGGGAGAAAGCAGGGGACCUUCGGGCCUUGCGCUAUCAGAUGAGCCUAGGUCGGAUUAGCUAGUUGGUGGGGUAAUGGCUCACCAAGGCGACGAUCCGUAACUGGUCUGAGAGGAUGAUCAGUCACACUGGAACUGAGACACGGUCCAGACUCCUACGGGAGGCAGCAGUGGGGAAUAUUGGACAAGUGGGACGAAAGCCUAGGAUCCGAGCCAAUUCGCCGCGGUGUCGUUAGAAGAAGGUUCUUACGGAUUAGUAAAGCAACUUUCCGAAAGGUUUGGGAA
RNAcentral lists this ribosomal RNA (442 nucleotides) under uncultured soil bacterium. RNAcentral describes it as "bacterial SSU rRNA". It matches the Rfam family "Bacterial small subunit ribosomal RNA", at positions 26 to 452 of the family's 1533-position model. The record is from RNAcentral.